RNAcentral lists this ribosomal RNA (420 nucleotides) under uncultured bacterium. RNAcentral's name for it is "bacterial SSU rRNA". It matches the Rfam family "Bacterial small subunit ribosomal RNA", at positions 361 to 773 of the family's 1533-position model. The record is from RNAcentral.
AUUUUGGACAAUGGGCGCAAGCCUGAUCCAGCGAUGCCGCGUGAGUGAAGAAGGCCUUCGGGUUGUAAAGCUCUUUUGUCAGGGAAGAAACGGGGGAGGUUAAUACCUUCCACUAAUGACGGUACCUGAAGAAUAAGCACCGGCUAACUACGUGCCACAAGCCGCGGUAAUACGUAGGGUGCAAGCGUUAAUCGGAAUUACUGGGCGUAAAGCGUGCGCAGGCGGUUUUGUAAGUCUGUCGUGAAAGCCCCGGGCUCAACCUGGGAAUUGCGAUGGAGACUGCAAGGCUUGAAUCUGGCAGAGGGGGGUAGAACUCCACGUGUAGCAGUGAAAUGCGUAGAGAUGUGGAGGAACACCGAUGGCGAAGGCAGCCCCCUGGGUCAAGAUUGACGCUCAUGCACGAAAGCGUGGGGAGCAAAC